ACUGCGAGGAACGCCUGGAAAAAGAUAGAAAAGAAACAUCGCAACACAUCCACUUCCUAAAGUUUUCAUAGUAAGAUAUGAAGACGCUGAGCUUUUUAUUUGUGGUAAUGCUUUUGUUUAUGCCUGAGAGUCUCACAUUAAGAGGAUCUUAUGACAAAAGUCUAGAGGAUCGUUUUAGAGAGUUUGUUUCAGCGUUUAACAAAAGCUAUGUCGACGACGUUUAUGAGUAUGGCAUACGGAAGGAGAUAUUCCUACAAAGCCUUAUCAGACAUGACAAGCUGAACAGGGAAGAAAAAGAGCUUGGAGGUUCAGCUAGAUAUGGAGUCAAUCAAUUCUCAGACUUGACCCCUGAAGAAUUCAAAGAUUUCUUAAAGAGAGGUUAUGCAAAAGAACCAGAGAUGACCUCUCUCGUUUCUCUGCCAAGUGAUGUGAAGUGUGACAUUCCUGGUUAUAAGAAGCUACCUAGUUUCUGGGACUGGAAUAAAAAAGGGAAAGUGACCAAAAUUAAAAAUCAAGGAAAGUGUGGAGGUUGUUGGGCCUUCACUGCAACUGAACUGGUUGAGACACAAUGGGCCAUUGCUGGGCAUGAGCUAGAAGAACUCAGUGUCCAAGAGUUCAUAUCAUGCUCCAGGAAAGAUGGCUGCAAAGGUGGUAACACCUGCCAAGCCCUCAGUUGGCUCAGGGAUAUAGAUGUUGCACUUUUACCAGCAUCAGAGUACCCAUAUGUAGAUGAGAGCACCCCAUGCAAGACAUCUGUUUUAAAAAAACAGGGAGUUCACAUCACAAGACCAUGUUGUCUUAACAGUACCACGGAUGAGCUAAAACAGAUGAAGCCCAUUGUAGCGUUGAUAGGGCCGAUGGCUGUUAAUGUGGACGCCACCAUGUGGCAUGACUAUAUAGAUGGAAUUAUACAGCACCACUGCACUGACACUGAAAUCAACCACGCGGUUCAGAUAACAGGCUAUGACGCCACAGGCGAGGUUCCUUAUUGGAUCGUACGGAAUUCCUGGGGGACGAACUUUGGAGUCAACGGUUACCUGUACAUCGCCAUGAACAAAAAUCUGUGCGGUCUCAACAACUCCCCGACAUUCGUGAUCGUGUGAAGUAUUCAGAUGAAGCUAAUAACAUGGGCCAGAACUUUGUAGCCAAUCAACCACGUUAAAAGCUGCGCGGCAUAAAGGGAUUGGAUCGAUGGAGUACUGUUUCUUUUUUCUCCGCUAAAUACGCCACUUUUUAAUUAAAUUCUAUUUUGCUUACUUUUAUCGUCUUGAAGUAGGCACCCAAACAGAGACAUUACAUUGCGCUUACAAACUAGACAGCCAACUGAGAUGAAAGGCAUCAGAACAGUACUCUCAAUACUACUACGUCAUCAACGGGUUUCAGGAUUUUUUUUCAUAAUUGUACGACGCUUGCCACAAAAUGUAUCAAAUUUUAAGAAUUUCUCUUAGAUUGCUUUGUAUCGAAGCCGCCUAGACCUAAACUAUACAAACUACAACUGCACUAUGCAAACAAUUACAUUUUCAAUGCAUUUUUGAGUGCGAAAGUGAUUUCUAAAUUUGCCGUGGCCAGGAAGACAAAGUUUUUUUAAGUUACCCAAUUGCCCAGGUUCGAUUUGAAAAACGUAACCUCUAGUCGAGGCUCUUUAUUAAAAUCACAAAAAAAUGUGUCAGAGUUUGACGAGAGCUUCGAUGUGGUGCAUGUGGAAUAAAGCAUCAUGCUUCCUCUUUCUCAUAUUUUUUUACUUUUAGUAUUUGUCUCUGAUAGUAUUUGUGGUUUUACCCUCUGGAACACGGAGCUAAGAUUAUAAUUACAAGUAUGACAGUAUUUGUGGUCUUGGAACAUUGAGCUAAGGUUAUAGUUACAAGUAUAACAGACUCACCUUAUAGAAAAGGUGUGCUAAACGAUUGCCGCCCUCCUCUUCCCCUGAUGGCGCAGACGCCCCUAUGAUGCCCGUCCAAGCAUUCACGUCAGGAAGAGUCAUCGCUGCCACCACAAACAAUCCCAGCAAUAUGGACAACGUCGUCGAUUUCAUGUUAAAUCCACGGCGCUCUGUGACCGUGCUGUUAAGUAUUGAGCUCCCCGCGGCUUGUGGCCGUGCUUCUGAGCUGACUGUGUUUAUAGCCUGAGUGUUCGGCUUUAGUUUCAUUGCUUUAAGUGGUCGUAAGUGGGGUCCGGAGCCGGGCUCUGAGAGGGAGGAGAUAUCAUCGUUGCUUCCUUUCCCUCUCCAUCGCCGCAGAAAAGCGCCCACAACAAGCCUUUAUAUGACAUUGUAUUUAUUUGUUGCAAAUUUUGAGCUUGAAUAGAAAAAAAUUGCUGAAGGUGCGCUAAUUUUUGAAAACUCGUUUAAGACGAUAUUUGAGAAUGUUUUACAAAUCUAAUAACGCCUUUAAUCGCAUGAAUUGUAAAAAUAGACAAUAAAUAAGCCUUGUGUCUGAAACUAGACACGAUACUAUUCUGCAAAAUAAAGCACAAGACUGCGCAGUUUGCCAGUCUUAGUAGGUCAUAGAGCAUCAGCUCUUCAUACAAUAGGGAAAUCAAAUUUACGUUCUGUAAAGAGCUUUGAAUGAAAGCACUUGAGUACGGCUCUCAAAGAGGGUUCAUCGUCGAGUUGUUUUCGUUUCUGUAUCGGUGAUCUGUAUGCAUUGGUCUCAAAGAGCUUCGCUAAUCCCUCUACGGUAUACAUAACGUCAAUAAAACAUCUGUGUGGAUAAAAAGCUCAACUACCGGGCGAUCCAUGAAUCUGACACCGUACUUCCUUAUUUUUAUUACUUAAAGAUCCCGCUCUUUGAGAGGCAUUAUUAAUUAAUUACACGCCUUCUUCUAAGUCUAAAUUUUUCAUUCGUAUAUUUUAUAUUAACACAAAGUAGUAAUGAGACCAAAAUACUAAAACUGGAAGAAGAAUUGCCUUCUCUGUUGAGGCGGCUUUUCUUUCACCCAAAUCCCUUUUUUCGCCAGACACCGCUAACUGUGAGAUCAGUUUCUGGAAGCUACCUUAAUGUAUAAACCAAGCGUUUAUCCCUUUGAUUCACAUAUCAAAUACGUGCUUUCUAUCAUACGUUGCUUUUACUCUCCCCAAUUUGCCGCGUUUAAAAUAAUUUACCAUUUUUCUCAGUAACCUCUAUAGUCGGUCUGCGCUCUAAUCUGUGUGUGCUAGCAUAAAACAUGCUUCCGUUCUUGCAAAUUGACGAAACUGUAAAAUGCAAUAAAACCCCCAAAGAUAUCAGUUUCGUGUAUUUUUUAAAUAAAACAUCAAGUAAUACCGUUUGAAUGGACCAAAUUGACUUGUGUGUUUUUAUUGUAGAAAAUCCUUUUUAAGACCUAAGUUCCCCAUUUUUACCUCCGUAAAAUUUUGGUCAAACCAAAUCUGUCAAAGCUCAAUUUGCAUUUUUACUCUUUCAGCCCCACUCUCUGCAUUGCUCUAGCUGUUUGUAGCUUACGCUUUCAGUUUCACCGGCGACAAAAUAAAUAGUGGUAAAGAAGACACAAUCCAGGACUUGACAGGGUUUUCUGACGUAGGUGUAUUCCCAACGUACUUGGAAGAGUACGAAGAUUACUGGCAAGAGGAGGAGAGUAAAAUAUAGAAGCAAAGUUAGCCAUCGACUAAGUUGUCAAAAUACCGAUCGUUAAAAGUCUGGAGAAUUCGCUUCAUAAGUGUAAUAAGCGGGUAAUGAAAAAAGAAGUUUCAGGCCUCCUUAUAACUCGAGUUAAGACGCCGUUUGGAAGUGAGUUUUGAACGAAAAGUUGUUUGGCUCUUAAUUAUGCCUAGGCACUGAACAACUAGGUUGAUUUAAAUUGACAUCAGCGCAAUGAUCAGAGAUGUCUCAGAUUAAUUUUAUUCGAAAUUUCAUCCCUUUUUCUUUUGACAUUUUCUCGAUUCGUAAGUGAGCGCCCUGUGCUUUUUCUACGGGAAUAAAAACCGGUUUUUGUAUCGCUUGAGGGUAACAGCUAAUCGGAAGUCUUGUUAUUCCAAUAUCCAAUCAAAAUUCUAGCAGACUCUUGGAUUUGAAUGUAAGACCGUUUUACACCAGAAGCUGACGGUUCUCGACUUUAACUAACAAGAGAUGAGUAAAGCGAACUUUCAGCCUACGGAUCCCAGAUGCAAAUCCAGCCCUUGCAACUCCCACCUCGACAACACCAGCUCUAGAAACUCGAACCUUGGCGACACAAACCCUGGUAAAUCUAAUCUUGUCAAUACCACUCCUGGCAAUUAAAAACUUAGCAACACAAACCGGGCAAUAAAAAACUUGUUAACGCCAACCCUGGCGACUCGAACCAUGGCAACACCAACCCUGUCAAUCAUCGGGCAAUACGUUUCUAAAACUGUCAAUUGCGCGCAUCACAUCAGAGCUUGAGUUAAUGCUUAUAAGUAUUAACAUUAGAUAUCAAAAAAUCAAAUACGAGAUUACUUAUAAUACUCUCAUUUAAGUAAGUUUUAACGAUGUUGUUGUUUAAUCAACGCUUAUUUUACUCCGUUUUAAAGCUGCAUUUCUGGUACAGCUCUCAGUUUGCCAAUGGAAAUGAACAGCAUAGACACAGUGUUCAUACAGCAGAGACACAGUGUCCAUACAGCAGGGACACAGUGUUCAUACAGCAGAGACACAGUGUCCGUACAGCAUAGACACAGUGUUUAUACAGCAGAGACACAGUGUUUAGACAGCAGAGACACAGUGUUCAGACAGCAGAGACAUAGUGUUUAUACAGCAGAGACACAGUGUUCAGACAGCAUAGACACAGUGUUUAUACAGCAGAGACAUAGUGUUCAGACAGCAUAGACACAGUGUUCAGACAGCAGAGACACAGUGUUUAUACAGCAGAGACACAGUGUUUAUACAGCAGAGACACAGUGUUUAUACAGCAUAGACACAGUUUUCAGACAGCAGAGACAUAGUGUUUAGACAGCAGAGACACAGUGUUUAUACAGCAGAGACACAGUGUUUAUACAGCAGAGACACAGUGUUUAUACAGCAUAGACACAGUGUUCAGACAGCAUAGACACAGUGUUCAUACAGCAGAGACACAGUGUUUAUACAGCAUAGACACAGUGUUCAGACAGCAUAGACACAGUGUUUAUACAGCAGAGACACAGUGUUUAUACAGCAGAGACAUAGUGUUCAUACAGCAGAGACAUAGUGUUCAUACAGCAGAGACAUAGUGUUUAUACAGCAGAGACACAGUGUUCAUACAGCAAAGACACAGUGUUUAUACAGCAUAGACACAGUGUUCAGACAGCAUAGACACAGUGUUUAUACAGCAGAGACACAGUGUUCAGACAGCAGAGACACAGUGUUCAUACAGCAGAGACAUAGUGUUUAUACAGCAUAGACACAGUGUUCAUACAGCAGAGACACAGUGUUUAUACAGCAUAGACACAGUGUUCAGACAGCAUAGACACAGUGUUUAUACAGCAGAGACACAGUGUUCAUACAGCAGAGACAUAGUGUUUAUACAGCAUAGACACAGUGUUCAUACAGCAGAGACACAGUGUUUAUACAGCAUAGACACAGUGUUCAGACAGCAUAGACACAGUGUUUAUACAGCAGAGACACAGUGUUCAGACAGCAGAGACACAGUGUUCAGACAGCAGAGACAUAGUGUUUAUACAGCAUAGACACAGUGUUCAUACAGCAGAGACACAGUGUUUAUACAGCAUAGACACAGUGUUCAGACAGCAUAGACACAGUGUUUAUACAGCAUAGACACAGUGUUCAGACAGCAGAGACAUAGUGUUUAGACAGCAGAGACACAGUGUUUAUACAGCUGAGACAUAGUGUUUAUACAGCAGAGACACAGUGUUCAGACAGCAGAGACAUAGUGUCCAUACAGCAUAGACACAAUGUUUAUACAGCAUAGACACAGUGUUCAGACAGCAGAGACAUAGUGUUCAGACAGCAUAGACACAGUGUUUAUACAGCAGAGACAUAGUGUUCAUACAGCAGAGACACAGUGUUCAGACAGCAGAGACACAGUGUUCAGACAGCAGAGACAUAGUGUUCAUACAGCAGAGACAUAGUGUCCAUACAGCAGAGACAUAGUGUCCAUACAGCUGAGACACAGUGUUCAUACAGCAGAGACACAGUGUUCAGACAGCAGAGACACAGUGCUCAGACAGCAGAGACAUAGUGUCCAUACAGCAGAGACACAGUGUUUAUACAGCAGAGACAUAGUGUCCAUACAGCAUAGACACAGUGUUUAUACAGCAGAGACACAGUGUUCAGACAGCAGAGACACAGUGUUCAGACAGCAGAGACACAGUGUUCAUACAGCAGAGACAUAGUGUUUAUACAGCAGAGACACAGUGUUUAUACAGCAUAGACACAGUGUUCAGACAGCAGAGACACAGUGUUCAGACAGCAGAGACAUAGUGUCCAUACAGCAGAGACACAGUGCUCAGACAGCAGAGACACAGUGUUCAUACAGCUGAGACACAGUGCUCAGACAGCAGAGACACAGUGUUCAGACAGCAGAGACAUAGUGUUCAGACAGCAGAGACACAGUGUUCAUACAGCAGAGACACAGUGUUCAUACAGCAGAGACAUAGUGUCCAUACAGCAGAGACACAGUGCUCAGACAGCAGAGACAUAGUGUCCAUACAGCAGAGACACAGUGUUCAUACAGCAGAGACACAGUGUUCAGACAGCAGAGACAUAGUGUCCAUACAGCAGAGACACAGUGCUCAGACAGCAGAGACACAGUGUUCAUACAGCAGAGACACAGUGUUUAUACAGCAGAGACACAGUGUUUAUACAGCAUAGACAUAGUGUUUAUACAGCAUAGACACAGUAUUCAGACAGCAGAGACAUAGUGUUCAGACAGCAGAGACACAGUGUUCAGACAGCAGAGACAUAGUGUUUAUACAGCAGAGACACAGUGUUCAUACAGCAGAGACACAGUGUUCAUACAGCAGAGACACAGUGUUCAGACAGCAGAGACACAGUGUUCAGACAGCAGAGACAUAGUGUUUAUACAGCAGAGACAUAGUGUUCAGACAGCAGAGACAUAGUGUUCAUACAGCAGAGACACAGUGUUCAUACAGCAGAGACACAGUGUUCAGACAGCAGAGACAUAGUGUUCAGACAGCAGAGACAGUGUUCAUACAGCAGAGACACAGUGUUCAGACAGCAGAGACAUAGUGUUCAGACAGUAGAGACAUAGUGUUCAUACAGCAGAGUCAUAGUGUUUAUACAGCAUAGACAUAGUGUUCAGACAGCAGAGACAGUGUUCAGACAGCAUAGACACAGUGUUCAGACAGCAGAGACACAGUGUUCAGACAGCAGAGACAUAGUGUUUAUACAGCAUAGACACAGUGUUCAGACAGCAUAGACACAGUGUUUAUACAGCAUAGACACAGUGUUCAGACAGCAUAGACACAGUGUUCAUACAGCAUAGACACAGUGUUUAUACAGCAUAGACACAGUGUUCAGACAGCAUAGACACAGUGUUCAUACAGCAGAGACACAGUGUUGAGACAGCAGAGACACAGUGUUCAUACAGCAAAGACAUAGUGUUCAGACAGCAGGGACACAGUGUUCAUACAGCAGAGACACAGUGUUCAGACAGCAGAGACAUAGUGUUCAGACAGCAAAGUCAUAGUGUUUAGACAGCAGAGACACAGUGUUCAUACAGCAGAGACACAGUGUUCAUACAGCAGAGACAUAGUGUUCAUACAGCAGAGACACAGUGUUUAUACAGCAGAGACACAGUGUUCAUACAGCAGAGACACAGUGUUCAGACAGCAGAGACACAGUGUUCAUACAGCAGAGACACAGUGUUCAGACAGCAAAGACACAGUGUUCAGACAGCAGAGACACAGUGUUCAUACAGCAGAGACACAGUGUUCAGACAGCAGAGACAUAGUGUUCAGACAGCAAAGUCAUAGUGUUUAGACAGCAGAGACACAGUGUUCAGACAGCAAAGUCAUAGUGUUCAGACAGUAGAGACAUAGUGUUUAUACAGCAGAGCAUAACCUGUCACCAGCAAUACUGGCGUCGUCUGUACAAGGUUUAACCUUCUAAAGAGGAUCUCCCUGUAUUGACCCUAAAAAGUUCGAUUAAACCAUCCUCUCCAGCAAGCCUCUACUUCAAAGCAAAUCUUUUUAAAUAAGCCCCAUCCCCUCUACGCCCAAUUCCGAGUCACACAAAGCAUCUAUUUUUAUUCCGCUAAUUUAAGCGAGUAAAUAUUUGCAAACAAAUAUCUAUAAAAGAGUAACAGAAUUUAAUCGUGAAUUGCAAAUAGACCCUCAGUCUUCAGUCUCCUCAGAAGUAAAUAAUAUAAAAGAAGUGUUCCCCCCUCUUGAUGCAUAAAGUAAGAUUACAUAACAUGUUCCAAGAGUACACGUGAUUCUUGCUUGCUUCGAAUGCAAAAAGGACACCAAGUACGUAGUUGUUAAUGUAGAGCAUACGUAAUAUUCUCCUGUUUGAAAAAGCCCUUCUUUCCGAUACCCCCUCCAAUUAAAAAGAGAACCCCUAUGGUUUAUUAGAGCUUUUACGGUAUUUAAUUUUUGAUUGUUAAAACCAAAAGUCUCUAUAGAGAAAGCCCACGCAGAGAAUGCUGAAAAACAUAAUAAACUCUAGUAAAAAAAACAGUUAUCAACUCAAUAUUUAAUUAAGCAUACAUAUUAAAGGUGUUUCUUUCAAAACCGUUCGAUAAAAUAGAAGUAUGUUUUCAUAUAUCGUAUUUGUUUUUGAUUGUUGAUCUUUCACUAGUUAUUAUUCCAAGUACACACUCUUUCAUUUAUUCAUUGACAUACAAGGGUCAUGAAAUUGUUUUAUCGUAUAAUUACUACGCUUGGAAGCUAAAACAUCUGCUGGGCUUUCAUUUCCUUUUGGUAUAGCGCGCGGCGCAAACCGCCAUGGUCUCCGAACAAAGCGCAGAUCACCCUCGAACUCGAAGCACUUCAUAGUUGAAGGGCUUUCUCUGGGGGCUUGUUAUUGUUGAUCACAAUCUAUAAAUGGCGCUCUAUCACACAAUAAGCGAUCUCUUUGUUCCCCUUAGCCGUUUCCUUGAAUUAAGCAUGGAUUGUAAUCUCGUAUCUUAAAGAAUACUCGAGCAAAGAAAUUAGUUGAAAAAAACAACAACAUACGUCUAGCCAUAAAGCUACUAGAUUUAGUUUAAUAUUCUUGUUUUAUCAUCUUCAAGAUUUUCCUACAAAACAUAGAAAACUUGAAAAAUUGGAGAUUAGCCAGGAUUAAUUGACUCCUGUUUGUUUGUGUUUUAAUCAAAUUCAAUAUUUGCUAAAAUUGUUAUGUUUUUGGUUAAUCAGCCUUGACCUUCUAUGGAAACAAAUUAUCAAGUUAUAUAGUUUUGUGUUGUGUUGGUAGCUAAUAAGAGAUUGUUUAUGUUUUGCUUGCUUACUCAUGGGGAAACAACUCUCCUAUUAGUAAAUGCCCUUUUAGCAACUUUCUUUUUACUAGUAACUUUCCUAUUAGAAAAUGUCUUUCUAGUAAAAGGCCGGCCAAAUGUUUCUAGCAAAAUAUAUAUAACGUUUUAAAAGGGAGGACUUACUGAAAUGUGCGGUUAAAAAUAAUGCAAUCAAGAAGAACGACUUCUAACACGUUUCUUUAUGACUACAUCGGCUUAUUCUAAGCUUUCCUGUACUUGUAAUUAGAGAUAAAUGUAAUAAUCGAUUGACUUACCAAUGAACAACAAGUUUCUGCACCACCUGUUCGUAUCGCUACAGUACUCGGAUUAAGUACUAUUUUUGUCCUCUGUAUUUAGCUUUUCUUUAUUUUGGGUUUUAAAUUUAACUUUCUGAGUUAGUCUUUCAUUUGUCACCUUGGUUUCAAUCAAUAUUUGUUGUAAUGUCCACUUAUAGUAUUUUGAAUUUAGCUUUCUGAAUGGUAUACUGAUUUGUUACCUCUUUAAAAUAUAUAUUUUCGUUCCCCAAAGUCCCUUUUUAGUAUUCUUAUUAAACUUUCUGAGUUGGAAUUCGAUCUCAAACGAUAUUUCUUUCAAAAAGUCUGUCCUAUCUUCGGGGUAUAAUUCGUUUAUUGUAAUUCCUACUUCAACUUCCUUGCCUUUUUAAAUGCUAAUCUAUUUUCCGUGUAAUUGAAUUGUAGCAUAAAAAACAUACUUACAAUAGUAAAUGACAUUUUAAUUAUAUCGAAAACCAAACUCGAACCGACGGUUAGUACACAAUGAAAUGGUGAAAUGACUGAUGUGUAUUUACACGUUUAUUUGUUUGUUAUUGAUUCUUUAUUCUAAAGCAUACAACAAUUGACAAAAAGUUUACACCAUUUUUUCUUUUCUUUCCUACUUUUAUUUUUCAUGAACUGCAACAGGAAGAUUGAGAAGGCGCUUAAAUGCAAUUCCCCAAAUUAAAGCCUCUUGUAGCCGACUUAUUUACGGAAAUUUCUAUUUUUAAUCGUUUAUUUUACGUCUUUUUGGUGCUUCAAUGAUAAGAUUUUUUUGAAUUUGAAACCGUUAUUAAGUGUUCCAUUUUAUUAGCAAAAAUUAUUUGAAAAAUAAAGGAACAUUACUGAUACUUCAUACAAAAUAUCUGGCCAAAAUUAGAAAAAAAGUCAAUCUAAUGAUAAAGAUAGAUGCAAGAAAAAGGUAAAAGUAAAACUAAGUUGCGCUGCUUUGAAUUAAGAUUGAAGCUGUGUAACAACCGACGCCGCUCGAACCACGCUAGUAUUCCCGCCAAAUAUUCCCGCCAAACUCGACUCUCGUGUUGGGAAUGGGAGAGCGCCUCGUGAGCGGAGUACCUGUAAUUCCCCCAAGUAGUUGACAGGUUUGUCUAAGUGCGUAACGAGAUUACGAGGAAAGCGUCCUGACAAGGAACACAUCCGAAAAUGGCAAAACCGUAAAAGGACGCCAAAUUAGGAAGUUUAUUCCCCCGUUUUAUUAUUUGGGAACGUUAAAUUGACAUUCAUAUCUUAAUGUUAUCUUGGCAUUAUUUAAAUAAGUGGAUAAUUAACACCUAUUUUGGAGGCGUCAAGAAAUUGUUACAAAGACUUAAACCUGCGUGAAUGCGUCUUUCAGACGGCACUGACCGAGAAUUUCACUCUUCCACGCUCAUUCCCUCGUCAUUACCGCUUAUUCUAUUAGUGGUUAAGUUUGCUGUAGGAUCAUUAGUGAAUCCUGAAAAGACAUGAGCGGAACACCCGCCUUGUCACUUAAACCACCUGGCAAAUUGAAGACAAAACUGCCGUUUUCUCAAGGUCCUAAGCGUGUCCUUAGUAUUAUGAAGAUUCAUAAACUUACCCAGCACACAAAUUUCGCGUUAACAACGCUUCGAGUUCCACUCCCCACGAGAAAAACUAGCAUUUAUAAAGAUGCCAUAUACUUGACCAAUUCCGCCUGCCUGCGUUGUCCGGCCCAACCCGAGCCCUUCUUGACAUGUUAAACGCUGAUGAUAAGAAUCACGAGUGAGAGUGGGUUACCUUCGUCAACUUCUACAACAGCUGGCAAACACGCCCCUACUUUGCAUAUAUAUAUAUAUAUUGCCUGGUAACCCAGCAUCACCAGUUAGUUAAUCCAAGUCUCCAGUGUAGUGGAAGAAGAGCGUACAGCAAGCGAGACAAGAUGAGAAGGAAUUUAGCAACUGCUUUUGUCAUACUCAUUGUCCUUUGUAGUAUAACUCGGUCGUAUUGUGUGCUGCUCGGGGGACCGCAAGGCGCGUGUCGAGAUGCGAAGGGUAAUUCCGUCAGUUGCGGCUCUGGCAAAAGGAAAUUUAGAGAGCGUUCCUUCAGCAAAAGAACAAUCAGCAACAUAUGCGAGGUGGCAAGAAGCAUCGGUUGCGAGGACUACCCUGAUUUCAAGAACAUCGACUUUUAAUGACACAAAACGCCGAUUAGACAAGAGAGAUUAUUAUUUUCAAACCCAUCAACGUAAUAAGUGAAUGAAUAUACGUUUUUCAAUAAAAUGAAAGAACAGCAAAAACAUUGGAGUGGCUUAAUCUACAAUGAGACAAGAGAUAUACUACCUUGUAAUAUGGGGAAAUUUUAAAUUACUAGAACAUCGUCAGCACUUUGAACGUUGUAAUGAUAUAGUUUGAUUACCUUUUAAAGAAGGUUUUUUUGCACUCACUAAACUCUACUGGUGAUGUUAAAAAAAACGCUUAGACUGUAUAAAAAAUCCACCAAACUAUUAACCUCUUGCUUAGAUACUCAAGAUUUAUUAAAGAGUAUUUGAGACAUCUCUUACUGACAACUUGCAGCCUGAAUAAUAGUGACUUGAAGCUAAGACAAGCUAGGGUGUAUGUGAGAAACAGUUCUAACUUACCUAUACCUAUUAUACUAGUUACUCCAUGCUAAACAAAAUGAUAGAAGCCCUUACUGCCAAAGUUUAACUUGUAUGCUAGAUGCUAAAAUAUUGAAUAAAGUUUAUGUAAGAAGC
RNA transcript from Nematostella vectensis (starlet sea anemone), 12336 nucleotides. It is a transcript of the gene named cathepsin O, with no coding region annotated. The record is from RefSeq and is a predicted model, not a curated record. NCBI's taxonomy places the organism in Eukaryota, Metazoa, Cnidaria, Anthozoa, Actiniaria, Edwardsiidae. The transcript has 14 exons.